AAAUUGAAGAGUUUGAUCAUGGCUCAGAUUGAACGCUGGCGGCAGGCCUAACACAUGCAAGUCGAACGGUAACAGGAAACAGCUUGCUGUUUCGCUGACGAGUGGCGGACGGGUGAGUAAUGUCUGGGAAACUGCCUGAUGGAGGGGGAUAACUACUGGAAACGGUAGCUAAUACCGCAUAACGUCGCAAGACCAAAGAGGGGGACCUUCGGGCCUCUUGCCAUCGGAUGUGCCCAGAUGGGAUUAGCUAGUAGGUGGGGUAACGGCUCACCUAGGCGACGAUCCCUAGCUGGUCUGAGAGGAUGACCAGCCACACUGGAACUGAGACACGGUCCAGACUCCUACGGGAGGCAGCAGUGGGGAAUAUUGCACAAUGGGCGCAAGCCUGAUGCAGCCAUGCCGCGUGUAUGAAGAAGGCCUUCGGGUUGUAAAGUACUUUCAGCGGGGAGGAAGGGAGUAAAGUUAAUACCUUUGCUCAUUGACGUUACCCGCAGAAGAAGCACCGGCUAACUCCGUGCCAGCAGCCGCGGUAAUACGGAGGGUGCAAGCGUUAAUCGGAAUUACUGGGCGUAAAGCGCACGCAGGCGGUUUGUUAAGUCAGAUGUGAAAUCCCCGGGCUCAACCUGGGAACUGCAUCUGAUACUGGCAAGCUUGAGUCUCGUAGAGGGGGGUAGAAUUCCAGGUGUAGCGGUGAAAUGCGUAGAGAUCUGGAGGAAUACCGGUGGCGAAGGCGGCCCCCUGGACGAAGACUGACGCUCAGGUGCGAAAGCGUGGGGAGCAAACAGGAUUAGAUACCCUGGUAGUCCACGCCGUAAACGAUGUCGACUUGGAGGUUGUGCCCUUGAGGCGUGGCUUCCGGAGCUAACGCGUUAAGUCGACCGCCUGGGGAGUACGGCCGCAAGGUUAAAACUCAAAUGAAUUGACGGGGGCCCGCACAAGCGGUGGAGCAUGUGGUUUAAUUCGAUGCAACGCGAAGAACCUUACCUGGUCUUGACAUCCACAGAACUUUCCAGAGAUGGAUUGGUGCCUUCGGGAACUGUGAGACAGGUGCUGCAUGGCUGUCGUCAGCUCGUGUUGUGAAAUGUUGGGUUAAGUCCCGCAACGAGCGCAACCCUUAUCCUUUGUUGCCAGCGGUCCGGCCGGGAACUCAAAGGAGACUGCCAGUGAUAAACUGGAGGAAGGUGGGGAUGACGUCAAGUCAUCAUGGCCCUUACGACCAGGGCUACACACGUGCUACAAUGGCGCAUACAAAGAGAAGCGACCUCGCGAGAGCAAGCGGACCUCAUAAAGUGCGUCGUAGUCCGGAUUGGAGUCUGCAACUCGACUCCAUGAAGUCGGAAUCGCUAGUAAUCGUGGAUCAGAAUGCCACGGUGAAUACGUUCCCGGGCCUUGUACACACCGCCCGUCACACCAUGGGAGUGGGUUGCAAAAGAAGUAGGUAGCUUAACCUUAGGGAGGGCGCUUACCACUUUGUGAUUCAUGACUGGGGUGAAGUCGUAACAAGGUAACCGUAGGGGAACCUGCGGUUGGAUCACCUCCUUA
This 1542-nucleotide ribosomal RNA is filed under the name Escherichia coli. RNAcentral's name for it is "bacterial SSU rRNA". It matches the Rfam family "Bacterial small subunit ribosomal RNA". RNAcentral also lists the same sequence under 1 other name. The record is from RNAcentral. Lineage: Bacteria; Pseudomonadati; Pseudomonadota; Gammaproteobacteria; Enterobacterales; Enterobacteriaceae.